CCUACGGGAGGCAGCAGUGGGGAAUAUUGGACAAUGGGGGGAACCCUGAUCCAGCCAUGCCGCGUGUGUGAAGAAGGCCCUCGGGUUGUAAAGCACUUUCAGUGAGGAAGAACGCCUGGUGGUUAAUACCCAUCAGGAAAGACAUCACUCAUAGAAGAAGCACCGGCUAACUCCGUGCCAGCAGCCGCGGUAAUACGGAGGGUGCGAGCGUUAAUCGGAAUUACUGGGCGUAAAGCGCGCGUAGGUGGCUUGAUAAGCCGGUUGUGAAAGCCCCGGGCUCAACCUGGGAACGGCAUCCGGAACUGUCAAGCUAGAGUGCAGGAGAGGAAGGUAGAAUUCCCGUUGUAGCGGUGAAAUGCGUAGAGAUCGGGAGGAAUACCAGUGGCGAAGGCGGCCUUCUGGACUGACACUGACACUGAGGUGCGAAAGCGUGGGUAGCAAACAGGAUUAGAUACCCUGGUAGUC
This 465-nucleotide ribosomal RNA is filed under the name Vreelandella stevensii. RNAcentral describes it as "partial 16S ribosomal RNA". It matches the Rfam family "Bacterial small subunit ribosomal RNA", at positions 338 to 795 of the family's 1533-position model. Lineage: Bacteria; Pseudomonadati; Pseudomonadota; Gammaproteobacteria; Oceanospirillales; Halomonadaceae. The record is from RNAcentral.